GCUUGAGCAAAGAUGUUACAAGGAUUUACGGAAAGAGAACUUUGGAUCUGUAAAGGUUGUGGCCUGCAUCUCUAAGAAAUUCUUAUGGUCAUGUAAGGAGCAGAAGCCAUUAUUUGCCAGUAGUUUAUUAGGGAUUGUUCGGACUCUUUUGGAGCAAACUCGACAGGACGAAAUGCGGAUUCUGGCUUGCAGUAUUCUUGUUGAUUUUAUUAAAUGGUCAGAUGGAUAGUACAUGCAUGUUCAACUUAGGAGGUCUUAUUCCUAAACUUUGUCAAUUGGCUCAAGAAGUGGGAGAUGAUGAAAGAGCUCUACGCCUACGUUCAGCUGGAAUGCAAACUCUCGCAAACGUGGUACAGUUUAUUUACCUAGUGUAUUACUUUGUGAAUGCACAGACUUAAUGCACAUUCCUGCUGGAAUGCAAGCUCUCUAUAACAUGGUACAGUUUAUUUACCUAGCUUUGUAAUGCACAUUUAGAUACACAUACAAUCAGACUUAAUGCAAGUUAAUCUUUA
This is a long non-coding RNA of Pistacia vera, 512 nucleotides long. RefSeq lists it as uncharacterized. The record is from RefSeq and is a predicted model, not a curated record. NCBI's taxonomy places the organism in Eukaryota, Viridiplantae, Streptophyta, Magnoliopsida, Sapindales, Anacardiaceae. The transcript has 3 exons.